Molecule: long non-coding RNA, 632 nt
Filed under: Physcomitrium patens
Lineage: Eukaryota; Viridiplantae; Streptophyta; Bryopsida; Funariales; Funariaceae
Description: long non-coding RNA (PPAT_LNC014362)
Source: RNAcentral
GGCAGCGGUUUCAAACACUGCUACUAGUUGAGGGAUAUUAUUUUACAGCUUCCGACGUAACACUAUUUUCCAGCAACUUGUUCCAAUCCUGCUUAAUUUAGUUUUUUUCGAACCUGUGCACAAUUUAUUGGUGAGUAGAGUUGCAAUCUAAAACCCGUUUACAGCUUUGUGAUGCGCGUAGCCUUUGUGUUGAUGAUCUCGGAAUGCUUGCUUCUCAUGUCGCUGUACAAAACAGAUCUACACUUCAAUGGGUAAUUUUGUCGAAAAUAGAGUUUCCUUGGCAUGGUUUUUGUCCUUUCACAUCGUUGGAGUAUGUCGUUAAGUGCUUCGACUGAUUGAAGCACCUCGUCUUGGAAUCUCCGGCACCUUCUGAAUCUCCCACUUCUUAACUGAAACGCUUUUUUGGUCAGUGUUUUUGUGUGUAUGUGUGUGUGAUGGCCAUGAAAAAACAAUUACUGCUGCAUGUGCUUGCCAAAGCUGAAGCAACAACUCAGCCAAGGGAAGAGUCUUCUCGCUUGUCUGGGUUGUUGAUCCAGUUUGAAGGCCGGAAAGCAGAGUGCGAAGUAUUCUUCCCCAUCUUGCAAUUUCCCCAGCUGCCAGUUUUCAGGGAAUGUAGCAAUCUCAGCGCGGUC